This 508-nucleotide ribosomal RNA is filed under the name uncultured bacterium. RNAcentral's name for it is "partial 16S ribosomal RNA". It matches the Rfam family "Bacterial small subunit ribosomal RNA", at positions 30 to 523 of the family's 1533-position model. The record is from RNAcentral.
AUUGAACGCUUGCGGCAUGCUUAACACAUGCAAGUCGAACGGCAGCACGGCUCUAGCUUGCUAGAGUUGGUGGCGAGUGGCGAACGGGUGAGUAACGCGUAGGAAUAUACCUUAAAGAGCGGGACAACUUGGGGAAACUCAAGCUAAUACCGCAUAAGCUCUUCGGAGGAAAGCUGGGGACCGCAAGGCCUGGCGCUUUAAGAUUAGCCUGCGUCCGAUUAGCUAGUUGGUAGGGUAAGGGCCUACCAAGGCGACGAUCGGUAGCUGGUCUGAGAGGAUGAUCAGCCACACUGGGACUGAGACACGGCCCAGACUCCUACGGGAGGCAGCAGUGGGGAAUAUUGGACAAUGGGGGCAACCCUGAUCCAGCAAUGCCGCGUGUGUGAAGAAGGCCUGAGGGUUGUAAAGCACUUUCAGUGGGGAGGAGGGUUGACAGGUUAAGAGCUGGUCAAUUGGACGUUACCCACAUAAGAAGCACCGGCUAACUCCGUGCCAGCCGCCGCUGUAA